CAAGCACCUCGUUAGGUGAGGCUUCCAUUACGGAUAUAGGCCACUGACCUCAAACGUCGAAAGACGCCCAGGGUCAGGACAGCUCUUCCCGGCUUAAGGGUUGAGCCCAAGUGGCUUCUGGCUUCGGCCGGAUACGCAGUGUGGUGCCGAAGCUCUGAUGAGAGGGGUGCCGG
Molecule: small RNA, 173 nt
Filed under: Mycobacterium lentiflavum
Lineage: Bacteria; Bacillati; Actinomycetota; Actinomycetes; Mycobacteriales; Mycobacteriaceae
Description: ykoK
Rfam family: M-box riboswitch aptamer (ykoK leader)
About the family: M-box riboswitch, also know as ykoK leader is described as a metaloregulatory RNA that sense divalent metals and function as a genetic control element of genes related to divalent metal transport in bacteria. It was first reported upstream of the B.subtilis ykoK gene and genes with related functions in other bacteria. Phylogenetic analysis of the distribution of M-box RNAs across bacterial genomes revealed that M-box riboswitches are most often employed for the regulation of Mg2+ transporter genes
Source: RNAcentral